Molecule: microRNA, 21 nt
Filed under: Anolis carolinensis (green anole)
Lineage: Eukaryota; Metazoa; Chordata; Lepidosauria; Squamata; Anolidae
Description: Aca-Mir-5396-P1_3p* (star (passenger))
Source: RNAcentral
CUUCUUGUUGGUCAUGUUGGC